Molecule: long non-coding RNA, 1466 nt
Filed under: Salmo salar (Atlantic salmon)
Lineage: Eukaryota; Metazoa; Chordata; Actinopteri; Salmoniformes; Salmonidae
Description: lncRNA (ENSSSAG00000109767.1)
Source: RNAcentral
GAUUGUAGCAUGCUGACUCUCUCCGAAAGAAAACAUUGUAGAAUCUUCCGAUGACAGCGACGGGGAAGAAACGGAGAUCAACAGUGUUGUCACGGAAGACGUUGACAUGAGUUUUGAAAUCUGGGGAACGUCUGGUAGAAGCAGAGUAUGAUAAGGAGAUUAAUACAAUUCUGGCGUUUGAUUGCAAAUGCAGAGGGAGUUGAAAAGAGAACACAGAAGGCGGUUGUAUAAAACACUUUGUCUCCAGAUUACAUCUUCAAACUUAGGGCAACCAUGGCAUCCGUGACAGAGGGAGUAAGAUCUGAAAAUUCUCAUGGCAUUGCACACGGUCAGUGUGAACCAGAGUGACUUGACACAACGCGGGCCAAGCAAGUUGUACAAACAAAAUGGAAAUGACACAGGACGUGUCUUAUUUAAUGAAAGGGGUUGCAGUCUGCCGUGAAGCGUUCAUCCAUGUUUACGGCAUCAGUAGAGCACGCCUGACUCUCCUCCACCAGUCAUACAAGGAGAACGGUCCUUGAACUUUAACUACGCAGAGAAUAAUGCAAUAGUAUUACCAGGACACAAAUACUUUGGUAGAAAGCUGUUGCCAUCUCAUGUGACAAAAGCAGCGGUGUGGUGUCUCCACAAGGAAUCGAUGACAACACUUGAGGUACGUGUAGUCGGGUUGUCAAAUGCUCCACAGAGUUCAAGUAAGAGACAUCUCAACAUCAACUGUUCAGGGGAGACUGUGUGAAUCAGGCCUUCAUGGUGAAAUUGCUGCAAAGAAACCACUACUAACGGACACCAAUAAGAAGAGACUUGCUUGGGCCAAGAAACACAAGCAAUGGACAUUAGACCGGUGGAAAUCUGUCCUUUGGUCUGAUGAGUCCAAAUUGGAGAUUUUUGGUUCGGACCACCGUGUCUUUGUGAGACGCAGAGUAGGUGAAUGGAUGGAUGAUCUCUUCAUGUGUGGUUCCCACCGUGAAGCAUAGACGAGGAGGUGUGAUGGUGCUUUGCUGGUGACACGGUCUGUAAUUUAUUUAGCAAUCAAGGCACACUUAACCACCAUGGCGACCACAGCAUUCUGCAGCGAUACGGCAUCCCAUCUGGUUUGCACUUAGUGGGACUAUCAUUUGUUUUUCAACAGGACAAUGACCCCAACACACCUCCAGGCUGUAUAAGGGCUAUUUGACCAAGAAGGAGAGUGAUGAGUGCUGCAUCAGAUGACCUGGCCUCCACAAUCACCCGACCUCAAACCAAUUGAGAUGGUUUGGGAUGAGUUGGACAGUAGAGUGAAGGAAAAGCUGCCAACAAGUACUCAGCAUGGUUGAGAGAAUUCCAAAAGUGUGCAAAGCUGUCAUCUAGCCAAAGGGUGGCUAUUUUGAAGAAUCUAAAAUAUAAAAUGUACUUAGAAUUUUUUUUAACACUUUUUUGGUAACGACAUGAUUCCAUAUGUUAAUUUCAUAGUUUGAUGUAUUCACUAU